Molecule: ribosomal RNA, 421 nt
Filed under: uncultured bacterium
Lineage: Bacteria
Description: bacterial SSU rRNA
Rfam family: Bacterial small subunit ribosomal RNA
Source: RNAcentral
GAGGAAUAUUGGGCAAUGCCCGCAAGGGUGACCCAGCAACGCCGCGUGGAGGAUGAAUGUCGUAAGAUUGUAAACUCCUGUUAGAGGGGAAGAAUAGUACCGGUUGGACCGGUAUAUGACUGUACCCUCAGAGAAAGCCCCGGCUAACUACGUGCCAGCAGCCGCGGUAAUACGUAGGGGGCAAGCGUUGUACGGAUUUACUGGGUGUAAAGGGCGCGCAGGCGGGAUAAAAAGUCAGUGGUGAAAUCCUACAGCUUAACUGUAGAACUGCCUUUGAUACUUUUAUUCUUGAGUUCGGGAGAGAGAGACGGAAUUCCAGGUGUAGUGGUGAAAUACGUAGAUAUCUGGAAGAACACCAGUUGCGAAGGCGGUCUCUUGGUCCGACACUGACGCUGAGGCGCGAAAGCGUGGGGAGCAAACA